Drosophila gunungcola (fruit fly) is the source of this 1858-nucleotide RNA transcript. RefSeq lists it as uncharacterized. The transcript has 3 exons. The record is from RefSeq and is a predicted model, not a curated record. NCBI's taxonomy places the organism in Eukaryota, Metazoa, Arthropoda, Insecta, Diptera, Drosophilidae.
ACUUAGAUGUCACGAUUUUCUAAUUUUAUCGAUAAACUGCAAGAAAUUUAAGAGCCUGGCUGAAUAAGACCAUCAUAACCUUACUGAAUAGGGGGAAAUACAAAGACUUAAUUAGUUUAACCCAUGCAUAUAAUGGCCGUCAGCUGGGUGAUGGACAGGGGGACCAACGCGUACCAUUCAGGACCUAGUUCCCAAGUGGACGUGCCGUAACUGUCUGUACACCCGGAAGUGCGACUACACUCUCCACGUGAGGGCGGCUGGAAACAGGUCCUUCGGCAAGGUCAUGUCUCUGCCGAGGAAUGCUGGCGAAUGGUAGUCGGGCGCAGAGAAGACAACUCUUGAAGAUCACCCCAAUCCAAGACGGAACAGCCGGCGUCGAAGGAUGCGUGGCCGAGGGGGAGCUCGGUUCUUAGUGGGCGAACUCUGCGCACCUGUCGACACGCAGUUUCAAUCCAGACUUCCUGCGGCACCUCGGGCUCUGGCGUGGGCGACCUCCUUUCCCGUGCACUCGUGGGAAUCAAAUGAAUAGUUUUAUAGUUUCAGAGUCAGAUGCUGCUCCCAAAGCAUCACCAAUCCAGAAUCCUGAAGUGGAUUCGGGUCCAGGCUUUGUCAGGCUGAAAACCAAGCAGAAAAAAUUACUGAGAAAGGCUCUUCGUGAAGGCAUAACCAGGGCAAGGGCUUUAAGAAUAGUACAAGCUACUCCUGUUGUUAGAGGACUUUUACCAGCUCCUUGUGGAAUUAAAGAGAUAGUAAACCCGACCAAUAGGCCCAACUCUAGUUUAGAUAAAAGUGUAAAACUCGGUUUUGCCUCGGAGUCUGAUGGGACUCUCCUCACAACCGAUCAAAUGUCCAGGAUAAAGGAGGCCAUAAUUGAUGUCACCGUGGAGCACUCAGGUAGCGAAAUGCCCCAGUUCGAAGCUUGUUUGGCUCGAAGAGGUUGGCUCAUGGUUAUCUGUGCCAACUUCUCCACAGCCCAGUGGCUCAUAGGCAAUUUAUGUCACAUCCAGACCAAAGUAGCCCUUCAACUCAAGCUAAUGACAGAGGAGGAACUGCCGAGGAAAAAUGUGAUCCGUGGCUACUUUCCAGACAGCCUACCAACCACCAAUAAAAAGGUCCUGGAUAUUAUAGAGGCUCAAAAUCCGGUGUCCACCAGGGAAUGGAGGGUUAUUAAUAGGCUUAUUCAUGGAGAACUUUUGCUCCUUGUCAUGGCAGUUGACAAUGAAUCGCAGAAGAAACUGGUGGAGCUAGAUGGAAUAAUAUCCUUCCGAUUUGGGCGUUUAAAACUGAGUAUGAAAGGAUUGACAGAUCGUAACAAAUUGAUAAAAGCAAAAGAUAAAACACCAACCGAACGCCAAACCCCGGGGAAAGUUCCUUCAAUCCAAAGUGGUGCGCCUGUAGUUGAAGAACCAGUAAUGAGAAAUUACAGUCCAUGGAACUGCAAUAAUGGUCCAUGGAACAAUUGUAAUGGCCCAUGGAAUCCCUACGAUAAUCAAUGGAUCCGAUGGGAUCAUCCACCAAACUUCAGGUAUGGUCCACCUAAUCCCAGGGAGGGUCCUUCAAACUUUUUGGGACCUGCGUUUUGGACUGGAACAGAUAGAUGGCUGACCGGACGACCACCUUGGCAUGGAGAUAACUAAUGAAAAAGGGUCCAAUACAAAUCAUGAAUUUCAUUUCAAAAAAGUUCAGCAGAGAUCGGUAAAUUUCUAUUGAGAUCUCGAGAAAAAGAGCAUUCCCCGUUGUUUUAAUUCUACGACAUCGCCUCAGUUUAAUAAUGACUUAUGAAUGAUCAUUGCAACGCCGGUUCAGCUGUUUUGGGUUUUUCAUAGAGCUGCCGGGGUUCCCUUUUCGAUUGAACGAC